Molecule: ribosomal RNA, 2549 nt
Filed under: marine sediment metagenome
Description: bacterial LSU rRNA
Rfam family: Archaeal large subunit ribosomal RNA
Source: RNAcentral
AGUAGGGGCGACCGAACAGGGGUUAGGGCAAACUGAACCCGCUGGAGAAAUCCAGUGGGGAUGUAGUGUUGCAGGACCUCGCCAUUAUCGCCUCUCUGGUGAAGCCGAACGUGGCUGGAAAGCCAGGCCAUAGAGGGUGAUAGCCCCGUAGGCGUAAGCCAGAAGGUGAGGCGGGGUAUCCUGAGUAGCAUGGGUCGGAAAUCCCGUGUGAAGCCGGGAGGCAACGACUUCCAACCCUAAAUACUCCCCAAGACCGAUAGCGCACUAGUACCGUGAGGGAAAGCUGAAAAGUACCGCUGGCGCGGAGUGAAAAGUGCCUGAAACCAGACGGCGACAGACGUGUGCGGCUCUUAAGGGUAGAUUCUCCUCGAAGGAACUCUUGGCAACAAGAUAGUACGAGAGGAGAGGACCGGAGUCGCACAAUCCGUCUAGAAACACGGGCCAGGGAGUUCACCUGAGUGGCGAGCUUAAGGGGUUCACCCCCGAAAGCGUAGGGAAACCGACAUGCCCGCAACCGUGUAUGCGGUGAGGGGCGGGGUCUGAAAGGGCCUGGAGUCACUCGGGUGAAACCCGAAACCGGGCGAUCUAGCCCUGGGUAGGGUGAAGUCUGGCGAAAGCCGGAUGGAGGCCCGCAGGAGUGCUGACGUACAAUUCGUUUCCAUGACCUGGGGCUAGGGGCAAAAGACCAAUCUAGCCCGGAGAUAGCUGGUUCCCCCCGAAGUGGGUCUUAGCCCAGCCCGACUCGAGGUGGCCGGAGGGGUAGAGCACCGAUUGGGUAUGCGGGGGGCCCACGUGCUUCCGGUAUCCUCUCGAACUCCGAAUACUCCGGCACCGUAGACAGUCGGAGACGGGUGUCAGGGGAUAAGCCUCUGAACCGAGAGGGGAACAACCCAGACCGGGGUUAAGGCCCCUAAGUGCUGGCUAAGUGUCAAACGAAAAGGAGUCCGCAACCUAAGACAGCAGGGAGGUAGGCUUAGAAGCAGCCAUCCUCUAAGGAGUGCGUAAAAGCUCACCUGCCGAGGUUGCGGGCCCUGAAAAUGGACGGGGCUCAAGCCAGCCGCCGAGACCCCGGGGCACGGCCGUUAUGGUCCGUGAUCCGGUAGGGGGGCGUCCCGAUGGGGCGGAAGCUGGUCCGUGAGGUCCAGUGGACCCGUCGGGAUUGCAGAUCCUGGUGGUAGUAACAGCAGAGCCGGGUGAGAAUCCCGGCCGCCGAAGGGGCAAGGGUUCCUCGGCAAUGCGUCGUCAGCCGAGGGUAAGUCGAUCCUAAGGUCACCCUUAACAAGGUGUGGCCGAAAGGGAAACCGGUUUAUAUUCCGGUACCGCGAUGGUACGCUUCGCGGCGACGCAAAGCUCGGCUCUUGACGCUUCGGGGUAGGCUGAGCAAGGUUAUCGCCUUGUCUAAGUGUAUAAGCCUGGGGAGUACCGUAAUGGUGAGAACCAGGUGAAAGCACGAAUGGCCGCCCGUUUUAGGGUGGUUCAGCCGAGCCCUGGAGCCCUUGAAAAGAGAGCCGAGAAGGAUCCAUCGCGAUCGUACCCAGAACCGACACAGGUGCCCCUGGGUGAGCAGCCUAAGGCGUGUCGGGUCGAAACCGGCCGAGGGAAAUCGGCAAAUUAGCCCCGUAACCUCGGGAUAAGGGGUGCCUGUGGUCUUGGGUUAUCCUGGGACCGCAGGUCGCAGUGACUAGGGGGGCCCGACUGUUUAAUAAAAACAUAGCUUUCCGCUAGCCCGAAAGGGUUAGUACGGAAAGUGAAUCCUGGCCAGUGGCAGUACGUGAAACCCGGGUCCAACCGGGCGAAGCGCUGCUAAACGCCGGGAGUAACUAUGACUCUCUUAAGGUAGCCAAAUGCCUCGUCGGGUAAAUUCCGACGCGCAUGAAUGGAACAACGAGGUCCCCACUGUCCCCGGCCGGUGCCCGGUGAACCCACAUAACCAGGCGAACAGUCCUGGGACCCCCAGCGGGGAGAGAAGACCCUGUGGAGCUUUACUGCAGCCUGUUGCUGAGGCCUGGUUGCGGAUGCGUAGCGUAGGCAGGAGCCGUCGAAGCCACCCUUGCGGGGGUGGUGGAGGCGCCAAUGAAACACUGCCCUUUCGCGACUGGACCUCUAACCGGGGGUUUACCCCGGGACAACGGCAGGUGGGCAGUUUGGCUGGGGCGGCACAUCCUUGAAAAGAUAUCAAGGGUGCCCAAAGGUCAGCUCAGGCGGGACAGAAAUCCGCCGUAGAGGGCAAGGCUAAAAGCUGGCCUGACUGGACACCGAAAAGCGAGGUGUCCAGAGGCGAAAGCCGGGCCUAGCGAUCCUUCAUGUCCCUCUCGUUGAGGGCUGGAGGUGUCAGAAAAGUUACCCCAGGGAUAACAGAGUUGUCGCGGGCAAGAGUCCACAUCGACCCCGCGGCUUGCUACCUCGAUGUCGGCUCUUCCCAUCCUGGCGGUGCAUAAGCCGCCAAGGGUAGGGCUGUACGCCCGAUAAUGGGGAACGUGAGCUGGGUUUACACCGUCGCGAGACAGGUGGUAUUCUACCUGCUGGGGGCGCUGGCCGUCUGAGGGCAA